GGGGGCAUAGCUCAGUUGGUAGAGCGCCUGCUUUGCAAGCAGGAGGUCAUCGGUUCGACCCCGUUUGCCUCCACCA
RNAcentral lists this transfer RNA (76 nucleotides) under Staurastrum brachiatum. Its description in RNAcentral is "tRNA-Ala". It matches the Rfam family "tRNA". From Rfam's summary of the family: Transfer RNA (tRNA) molecules are approximately 80 nucleotides in length. Their secondary structure includes four short double-helical elements and three loops (D, anti-codon, and T loops). Further hydrogen bonds mediate the characteristic L-shaped molecular structure. tRNAs have two regions of fundamental functional importance: the anti-codon, which is responsible for specific mRNA codon recognition, and the 3' end, to which the tRNAs corresponding amino acid is attached (by aminoacyl-tRNA synthetases). tRNAs cope with the degeneracy of the genetic code in two manners: having more than one tRNA (with a specific anti-codon) for a particular amino acid; and 'wobble' base-pairing, i.e. permitting non-standard base-pairing at the 3rd anti-codon position. Lineage: Eukaryota; Viridiplantae; Streptophyta; Zygnematophyceae; Desmidiales; Desmidiaceae. The record is from RNAcentral.